Small nuclear RNA from Pteronotus mesoamericanus, 191 nucleotides. RefSeq annotates it as U2 spliceosomal RNA. The record is from RefSeq and is a predicted model, not a curated record. NCBI's taxonomy places the organism in Eukaryota, Metazoa, Chordata, Mammalia, Chiroptera, Mormoopidae. The transcript has a single exon.
AGCGCUUCUCGGCCUUUUGGUUGUGAUCAGGCGUGCUCUCUGUUCUUACCAGUUUAAUGUCCGAUACGUCCUCGAUCUGAGGACAGUAUAUUAGAUGGAUUGUUGGAGCCAGGAGAUGGGAUAGGAGCUUGCUCUGUCCACUUCAUACAUCGACCUGAUAUCGCAGUGCUUCUGGGAAUGGUGCACAAGAA